AGUCAACCUGCCCUUGGGCCGGGAAUAAUCUCGGGAAACUGAGGCUAAUGAACGAUAGGUCAAGACUCCUGGAAUGGGUUUUGGUCUAAAUGGCGUGACAGCAUCUUGUCAUGUCCGCCCAAGGAUGGGACUGCGGCCGAUCAGGCUGUUGGUGGGGUAAAGGCCCACCAAGCCAGUAACCGGUACGGGCUUUGAGAGAAGGAGCCCGGAGAUGGACACUGAGACAAGGGUCCAGGUCCUACGGGGCGCAGCAGGCGCGAAACCUUCGCAAUGCGCGCAAGCGCGACGAGGUUAUUCCGAGUGAUUUCCGCUGAGGAAAUCUUUUCUUAGAUCUAAAAAGUCUGGGGAAUAAGGGGAGGGCAAGUCUGGUGUCAGCCGCCGCGGUAAUACCAGCUCCUCGAGUGGUCAGGGCGUUUAUUGGGCCUAAAGCAUCCGUAGCCUGCUUGGUAGGUCUCCUGUUAAAUCCAACGGCUCAACCGUUGGUCCGCAGGAGAUACCGCUAGGCUAGGAGGCGGGAGAGGCGGACGGUACUCCGAGGGUAGGGGUAAAAUCCUUUGAUCCCCGGAAGACCACCAGUGGCGAAGGCGGUCCGCCAGAACGCGCUCGACGGUGAGGGAUGAAAGCUGGGGGAGCGAACCGGAUUAGAUACCCGGGUAGUCCCAGCUGUAAACGAUGCGAGCUAGGUGACACGACGCC
This 696-nucleotide ribosomal RNA is filed under the name uncultured crenarchaeote. RNAcentral describes it as "bacterial SSU rRNA". It matches the Rfam family "Archaeal small subunit ribosomal RNA", at positions 102 to 783 of the family's 1478-position model. Lineage: Archaea; Thermoproteati; Thermoproteota. The record is from RNAcentral.